AGUUGCUUAGCCAACGGAACGGCAAUUGUUUUGAAAACAAUAGAUAAAGGUUUGAAUCCUUUAGUAACUU
This 70-nucleotide transfer RNA is filed under the name Leptestheria dahalacensis. RNAcentral's name for it is "tRNA-Ser". It matches the Rfam family "tRNA". Rfam says of the family: Transfer RNA (tRNA) molecules are approximately 80 nucleotides in length. Their secondary structure includes four short double-helical elements and three loops (D, anti-codon, and T loops). Lineage: Eukaryota; Metazoa; Arthropoda; Branchiopoda; Diplostraca; Leptestheriidae. The record is from RNAcentral.